CGGGGUGAGUAAUGUAUGGGGAUCUGCCUGAUGGCGGGGGAUAACUACUGGAAACGGUAGCUAAUACCGCAUAACGUCGCAAGACCAAAGAGGGGACCUUCGGGCCUCUUGCCAUCGGAUGUGCCCAGAUGGGAUUAGCUAGUAGGUGGGGUAAUGGCUCACCUAGGCGACGAUCCCUAGCUGGUCUGAGAGGAUGACCAGCCACACUGGAACUGAGACACGGUCCAG
RNAcentral lists this ribosomal RNA (228 nucleotides) under uncultured bacterium. RNAcentral describes it as "partial 16S ribosomal RNA". It matches the Rfam family "Bacterial small subunit ribosomal RNA", at positions 104 to 334 of the family's 1533-position model. The record is from RNAcentral.